Molecule: ribosomal RNA, 1034 nt
Filed under: uncultured Bacteroides sp.
Lineage: Bacteria; Pseudomonadati; Bacteroidota; Bacteroidia; Bacteroidales; Bacteroidaceae
Description: bacterial SSU rRNA
Rfam family: Bacterial small subunit ribosomal RNA
Source: RNAcentral
UCUUGGCCAGCCUUCUGAAAGGAAGAUUAAUCCAGGAUGGCAUCAUGAGUUCACAUGUCCGCAUGAUUAAAGGUAUUUUCCGGUAGACGAUGGGGAUGCGUUCCAUUAGAUAGUAGGCGGGGUAACGGCCCACCUAGUCAACGAUGGAUAGGGGUUCUGAGAGGAAGGUCCCCCACAUUGGAACUGAGACACGGUCCAAACUCCUACGGGAGGCAGCAGUGAGGAAUAUUGGUCAAUGGGCGAUGGCCUGAACCAGCCAAGUAGCGUGAAGGAUGACUGCCCUAUGGGUUGUAAACUUCUUUUAUAAAGGAAUAAAGUCGGGUAUGCGUACCCGUUUGCAUGUACUUUAUGAAUAAGGAUCGGCUAACUCCGUGCCAGCAGCCGCGGUAAUACGGAGGAUCCGAGCGUUAUCCGGAUUUAUUGGGUUUAAAGGGAGCGUAGAUGGAUGUUUAAGUCAGUUGUGAAAGUUUGCGGCUCAACCGUAAAAUUGCAGUUGAUACUGGAUGUCUUGAGUGCAGUUGAGGCAGGCGGAAUUCGUGGUGUAGCGGUGAAAUGCUUAGAUAUCACGAAGAACUCCGAUUGCGAAGGCAGCCUGCUAAGCUGCAACUGACAUUGAGGCUCGAAAGUGUGGGUAUCAAACAGGAUUAGAUACCCUGGUAGUCCACACGGUAAACGAUGAAUACUCGCUGUUUGCGAUAUACGGCAAGCGGCCAAGCGAAAGCGUUAAGUAUUCCACCUGGGGAGUACGCCGGCAACGGUGAAACUCAAAGGAAUUGACGGGGGCCCGCACAAGCGGAGGAACAUGUGGUUUAAUUCGAUGAUACGCGAGGAACCUUACCCGGGCUUAAAUUGCACUCGAAUGAUCCGGAAACGGUUCAGCUAGCAAUAGCGAGUGUGAAGGUGCUGCAUGGUUGUCGUCAGCUCGUGCCGUGAGGUGUCGGCUUAAGUGCCAUAACGAGCGCAACCCUUGUUGUCAGUUACUAACAGGUGAUGCUGAGGACUCUGACAAGACUGCCAUCGUAAGAUGUGAGGAA